RNAcentral lists this ribosomal RNA (669 nucleotides) under uncultured cyanobacterium. Its description in RNAcentral is "bacterial SSU rRNA". It matches the Rfam family "Bacterial small subunit ribosomal RNA", at positions 376 to 1061 of the family's 1533-position model. The record is from RNAcentral. Lineage: Bacteria; Bacillati; Cyanobacteriota.
CGAAAGCCUGACGGAGCAACGCCGCGUGAGGGAUGAAGGCCUCUGGGCUGUAAACCUCUUUUAUCAAGGAAGAAGAUCUGACGGUACUUGAUGAAUAAGCCACGGCUAAUUCCGUGCCAGCAGCCGCGGUAAUACGGGAGUGGCAAGCGUUAUCCGGAAUUAUUGGGCGUAAAGCGUCCGCAGGCGGUCUUGUAAGUCUGUCGUUAAAGCGUGGAGCUUAACUCCAUUUCGGCGGUGGAAACUACAAGACUAGAGUGUGGUAGGGGCAGAGGGAAUUCCCGGUGUAGCGGUGAAAUGCGUAGAUAUCGGGAAGAACACCAGUGGCGAAGGCGCUCUGCUGGGCCAUAACUGACGCUCAUGGACGAAAGCCAGGGGAGCGAAAGGGAUUAGAUACCCCUGUAGUCCUGGCCGUAAACGAUGAACACUAGGUGUCGGGGGAAUCGACCCCUUCGGUGUCGUAGCCAACGCGUUAAGUGUUCCGCCUGGGGAGUACGCACGCAAGUGUGAAACUCAAAGGAAUUGACGGGGGCCCGCACAAGCGGUGGAGUAUGUGGUUUAAUUCGAUGCAACGCGAAGAACCUUACCAGGGUUUGACAUCCUGCGAAUCCCUUGGAAACGAGGGAGUGCCUUCGGGAGCGCAGUGACAGGUGGUGCAUGGCUUCUCAGCUC